UACCAGCUCUCCGAGUGGUAGGGAUGAUUAUUGGGCUUAAAGCGUCCGUAGCCGGCUUAGCAAGUCUCCUGUUAAAUUCAGCGACCUAAUCGUUGAGCCGCGGGAGACACUACUAGGCUAGGAGGCGGGAGAGGCCGACGGUAUUCUCGGGGUAGGGGUGAAAUCCUAUAAUCCCGGGAGGACCACCAGUGGCGAAGGCUGUCGGCUAGAACGCGCUCGACGGUGAGGGACGAAAGCUGGGGGAGCGAACCGGAUUAGAUACCCUGGUAGUCCCAGCUGUAAACGAUGCGGGCUAGGUGUUGGGGUGGCUACGAGCCACUUCAGUGCCGCAGGGAAGCCAUUAAGCCCGCCGCCUGGGGAGUACGGCCGCAAGGCUGAAACUUAAAGGAAUUGGCGGGGAGCACCACAAGGCGUGAAGCUUGCGGUUC
RNAcentral lists this ribosomal RNA (428 nucleotides) under uncultured archaeon. RNAcentral's name for it is "bacterial SSU rRNA". It matches the Rfam family "Archaeal small subunit ribosomal RNA", at positions 474 to 903 of the family's 1478-position model. The record is from RNAcentral.